AUGAGAAAGGAGUAUUUUACAGAAUCAACACUUCCAGAAAGCUUUAGACAUUAACAACAUAUUCUGGUUUCUUCAUGUAUACAAAAAUCAUUCCAGUUAACCGAGACAACAUUCAAGACUUUGGAUUGGAUGGCACGAACACUAUGCUUCACCCUCCCUUUUUCAAUGCUUGCUUAUCCUUUUUACAUGUUGGCAGCAUCUGUUGAAGUUUUAAGGAAGGCGCAGUUGUGAUUGAAAAAUAGAGAAGCUUUGUGAAAUGUGAACGAGCCAUAUUGCAAUUUUAUGGGAAGAGGCGACCAUGGUGGUGGAGGUUUCUUCGUCGAUUAACUUCGUCUUUGUACCUGCUCUAGAUUCCAUUCGAUUUAGCGUUUUUUGUAGCUGGCGUUGGG
Molecule: long non-coding RNA, 389 nt
Organism: Helianthus annuus (common sunflower)
Lineage: Eukaryota; Viridiplantae; Streptophyta; Magnoliopsida; Asterales; Asteraceae
Exons: 3
Source: RefSeq, a predicted model, not a curated record